ACUCAAAGGAAUUGACGGGGGCCCGCACAAGCAGCGGAGCGUGUGGUUUAAUUCGAGGCUACACGAAGAACCUUACCUGGGCUUGACAUGACACUAGUAGGGAAGUGAAAGCGGACCGACCCGCAAGGGAGGUGUCACAGGUGCUGCAUGGCUGUCGUCAGCUCGUGCCGUGAGGUGUUAGGUUAAGUCCUGUAACGAGCGCAACCCCCGGAGCCAGUUACACGAUGUCUGGCUCGACUGCCCGUGACAAGCGGGAGGAAGGUGGGGAUGACGUCAAGUCAGCAUGGCCUUUAUGUCCAGGGCUACACACACGCUACAAUGGCCGGUACAAUGGGUUGCCAAGCCGCAAGGCGGAGCCAAUCCUCUCAAAGCCGGUCACAGUUCGGAUUGUGGGCUGCAACCCGCCCACAUGAAGUUGGAGUUGCUAGUAACCGCGCGUCAGCCAUAGUGCGGUGAAUACGUUCCCGGGCCUUGUACACACCGCCCGU
Molecule: ribosomal RNA, 488 nt
Filed under: uncultured bacterium
Lineage: Bacteria
Description: partial 16S ribosomal RNA
Rfam family: Bacterial small subunit ribosomal RNA
Source: RNAcentral